AAGCUAAUUCAAAUCUUCAUAGAGGCACUCUAUCAAACGGUUCUGGUGCAAUCGUCGAAAGCUAAAGCACAGGCGUUACCGACGUAGAAUCCGAAGUGAGGAGAUCCAUCAGUAUCGUCCCGAAGAGCCCUGCUCGACCAACCCGAAGAGUCCCGCUCGAUCAAUCAACAUACAAAGUAAAAUAGUUAUCAGGGAAGGCCAUUUAUAAGAAAAUCUCCGAGUAGGCACAGAGGCUUCAGUUACGAACCGGAUAAAUGAAGUGUCUGUCCAAGUCCCAGACUGAACAUAACUGCUAGGCAAGCGGAGAGACAGAAGGAGGCAGAAGGGUUGAUCAUAAACAUAAUAUAAAAAAAAUAGUCAGGAGCGCAGAGAGCAGAGAUUGUGAUUGAAG
RNAcentral lists this long non-coding RNA (391 nucleotides) under Daucus carota (carrot). RNAcentral describes it as "long non-coding RNA (DCAR_LNC004347)". Lineage: Eukaryota; Viridiplantae; Streptophyta; Magnoliopsida; Apiales; Apiaceae. The record is from RNAcentral.